Molecule: transfer RNA, 72 nt
Filed under: Lophius litulon
Lineage: Eukaryota; Metazoa; Chordata; Actinopteri; Lophiiformes; Lophiidae
Also listed under: 1 other name
Description: tRNA-Val
Rfam family: tRNA
About the family: Transfer RNA (tRNA) molecules are approximately 80 nucleotides in length. Their secondary structure includes four short double-helical elements and three loops (D, anti-codon, and T loops).
Source: RNAcentral
CAGAGCAUAGCUAAAUAAACAAAGCAUCUCCCUUACACCGAGAAGGUGUCCGUGCAAAUCGGACUGCCCUGA